AACGUAGGACGCAAGCGUUAUCCGGAGUUACUGGGCGUAAAGCGCGGGCAGGUGGUAUGCAAAGUCUGAUGUGAAAGCGCCGAGGCUUAACCGGGCGAGGCCAUUGGAAACUAGCAGACUGGAGUCUGGCAGAGGUAGGCGGAAUUCCGGGUGGAGUGGUGAAAUGCGUAGAGAUCCGGAGGAACACCAGAGGCGAAGGCGGCCUACUGGGCCAGUACUGACACUGAGCCGCGAAAGCCAGGGGAGCGAACGGG
This 254-nucleotide ribosomal RNA is filed under the name uncultured bacterium. RNAcentral's name for it is "partial 16S ribosomal RNA". It matches the Rfam family "Bacterial small subunit ribosomal RNA", at positions 524 to 776 of the family's 1533-position model. The record is from RNAcentral.